RNAcentral lists this ribosomal RNA (424 nucleotides) under uncultured Anaerolineaceae bacterium. Its description in RNAcentral is "bacterial SSU rRNA". It matches the Rfam family "Bacterial small subunit ribosomal RNA", at positions 943 to 1382 of the family's 1533-position model. Lineage: Bacteria; Bacillati; Chloroflexota; Anaerolineae; Anaerolineales; Anaerolineaceae. The record is from RNAcentral.
GGUUUAAUCGUUGCUACACGAAGUAACUUACCUGGGUUUGACAUAUAGGUUGUAGGGAACUGAAAAGGGACCGACCCUUCGGGGAGCUAUACAGGUGUUGCAUGGCUGUCGUCAGCUCGUGUCGUGAGAUGUUCGGUUAAGUCCGCUAACGAGCGCAACCCUCGUCGUAUGUUAUAUGUGUCAUACGAGACUGCCGGUAAAAGCCGGAGGAAGGUGAGGAUGAUGUCAAGUCAGCAUGACCUUUAUAUCCAGGGCUACACACACGCUACAAUGGUCUGUACAAUGGGUAGCCAAGCCGCGAGGCGGAGCCAAUCCUGAAAAGCAGGCCUCAGUUCAGAUUGCAGUCUGCAACUCGACUGCAUGAAGCCGGAGUUGCUAGUAACCGCAGGUCAGCAAUACUGCGGUGAAUACGUUCCCGGGUCCU